CGGACGGGUGAGUAACACGUGGAUAACCUACCUAUAAGACUGGGAUAACUUCGGGAAACCGGAGCUAAUACCGGAUAAUAUUUUGAACCGCAUGGUUCAAAAGUGAAAGACGGUCUUGCUGUCACUUAUAGAUGGAUCCGCGCUGCACUAGCUAGUUGGUAAGGUAACGGCUUACCAAGGCAACGAUGCAUAGCCGACCUGAGAGGGUGAUCGGCCACACUGGAACUGAGACACGGUCCAG
RNAcentral lists this ribosomal RNA (241 nucleotides) under uncultured Staphylococcus sp. RNAcentral describes it as "partial 16S ribosomal RNA". It matches the Rfam family "Bacterial small subunit ribosomal RNA", at positions 99 to 334 of the family's 1533-position model. The record is from RNAcentral. Lineage: Bacteria; Bacillati; Bacillota; Bacilli; Caryophanales; Staphylococcaceae.